AUGACACUGCAAAAAUUUAUUGUCUGCAUUCCCCUAGAUGAUCAGAGCUUCUCCUCUCAAAACUCAUCUCUCUCUCUCUAAUCUUCACUAUUCUUUCUGGGUAAACAUCAACGAGAAGCACCAAAUUUCUCCAUUGUUAUUCUUGCAACUUAUCUGGAUUCCAAAAUGUUGAGCAACCGUCAUCAAUAAAGGAUUGUCAGCAGCGGCAUUAUCUCCGGCAGAGGUGUAACCACCGGUUUUCAUACAGAUCCGGUGGUUGUCACUAGAUUGAUGAGGUUUUGGUUGGGAUUCGCGACUUGGUGAGAUGUACAGGUUAUAAGGUUGGUGACCAAGAUGAAAAGCUGGCAGAAGGUAUCAAGCUUUAGCUGGGGUGUUCGAGAGAUUUACCGAGAGACCAAUCAAAGUGGUGAUAUUGUUGAUAGUUCGGGUUCGGUUACGGAUGUGUCGUUUUCGAAUAGUACGAAAAGGGUGUUUGAAGUUGCGGUUGAGUAUUCAAGAACUAUGGGGAAAAUAAAUAAGAAGAGUGCAGGACUGGGGAUGAAACAUUUCGAUCUUAAUUAAGUGGGAGAAGUAGAGUUGCCGCGGUUCAUAACCAGUUUGAACAGGCCAAUUGUUUGUAAGUUUGUAAUAAAGAGGUACUAAAUUGGAAAUUUUAAAUGUGAUCUUAUACGAUAUAUCAUUAUUCUAGAGAUCAAUGAACUGUAAGUCUAUAACCCUUGCAUUUCUUCCAUAUAAACUAUUAAGUUGGGUUGAAUUUGUUCUUAGUUUUACAUGAUAAACUAUUCUUGCUUUUAACUGGUUUCAUAGAUUGACUUGUAAUCAAAAUCACUAAUAUGGCUUUAUUUAUAUUCAGUUGAUUUUAGUAUGUGGUUUUUAAACAAAUAGAUUUUCAAGAGAACAGGUUUGUUGACCUAUGGUUUGUUAUGUUUAAGGAUGUGUUAAUGUAUAAUGUACUAUAUUUAUGGAAUCUUCGGCACCGGUUUUGAUGUGAAUAAGGAUCUAUUGACUGAAUUAAAUCGCAACUGACCACCAAAUUUUACGGCUUUAUGAUUAUUUUUAUUUUCAUGUAAGUAGUUGGAAGUAAUCUGAUGGUUGAUGCAAUAUAUGUGCUUUUUCUAUUAAUUUAUUAAUUAAUUUCUUUAAAAUUUUACAGGAACGCAUCUUCAUCCUUAGUGAACUGGUUCGUGUUAUCUUAUAUAAAUUUCAAAUAUACAAUAAAUAAUCUGGUAGGUAGCCUUAUUUUACCAUGGCCAGGCAACAUGUUUGUUUAUUAGCACCAUUAGCAGUUGGCACAAAGGGUUUGGGGCCAGGUUGGGUAAAAGGUUCGAUACCAUUUACUUAUAGACAUGUAUGUUGAUUCUAUGGGUCAUGUUUUAUCUCUAGCGCCAAAUGGGUUAAUGGGGUUGAAAGUCUCGUGUAGAAUGUUUUUAAGCAUACAACCUACUAAUUCGUUUUAUAAAAAAAUAAAUUAUUGUUGAGUAAUAACAGAAAGAACAAGGACACAAUUUUCUUUAUUCCAUUAAAAUGGAAGGUUUGGCCUUUUUAGUUUAUAAAUAUUGCUCAAUUUGUACUUCAAACGUUACAGAAUUAAUCAGCCAAAUUAAAUUGUGUUACAACUUAAAGUACAAUAUUUGACUUUAUAAAGUCAAAUUCACUUUAUUUUCUGUGUUAAUGUCAAAAUGCAGCUAAGAAAUCCAGUUUUGGAGUAUGAUGAGGAUACUCAUGUUAAUUAUACAACCACAAAGUAUUGAGGUUGACUUUACAAAGUCAACUCAUUCGGCUGGCUCAACCAUUUUGGUGGCGUAAAGCAAAUUCAAAAACUCGAGGCCUUUUUCCAAAAAAAAAAAACCACUAUUUGAGAAAAAAACCUCUUUUACCCGGGCUUGGGACCGACAAAAUAAACUAAAAGGUUUAUUGUUGGCGAAGUUAACUUAAUCUUUUUGUAUUUUUAUAUAUUUUUUGUAUGUGUAAAGAUAAGUUCAGCCCAAUCCAAAUAUCAUAUAUAAUUUUUUUCAAGUUGGAGGCCCUAUUGAUUUGGAGGCCUAAAGCCCAAGCCUCAAAAUACUUGGGCUUGGGCCGGCCCUAAUUCUAAUGCAUGUCAUAUUUUUCUUUCUUGAUGUCAAAAUGCAGUUAGGAAAACCAGUUUUGGAGUAUGCAACUGAUUUAAACUCGUGGGCCGAGUUCUUUUGGUCUCAUGGACUUAUAUCGGAUUCGACAUAUAAAUUGUUCACUUCUGUAUGUAAUUAUUCGCUAUGUGAGUGAAUAUUAUAGAGAUUCGGUCUCUCCAAUAUGCGCAAAAGUUUAUAGUGAAGUAAGCCGCGAAACCAGUAGAUUUGUGGACAAAUAUGAUGUCACUCUCGAUGUUUGUAUUCCGUCGGCACUCUCACAGUCCAAGAUCAUUGUUCCUCAGCAAGUAACCGAGAGGGUCGAUGUUUGUGUGGAAGAUGAAACCGUUAACUAUCUUAACCGACGCGAUGUCCGUAGAGCGCUGCAUACGCGUUUGGUUGGUGUACGGAAAAUGGGAUGUUUGUAGCAAAGAUGAUGCAGUUAAUGGAAUGGCAUGGAUGAGAGGUGAAACCAGGGACCGAGGACUCAAUUCUCUAAAUUAUUAAUCAGCUGGCAUUCUUCCUUGGAGAAAACAAAGACUCGAUCCGUUGUUCCGUCCUCCUUUCAAUUGUAUUUCCAUUUUGAAUUGUUUAUUUAAAGGUACUCAACUAUUUUUAAAUUGUAUUUCUACUUUAUCACCAAUUUAUGUAACAAUAUGCAUAACUGGACAUCAAAUGAAGAUCUUUGUUGCACAA
Long non-coding RNA from Helianthus annuus (common sunflower), 2801 nucleotides. RefSeq lists it as uncharacterized. NCBI's taxonomy places the organism in Eukaryota, Viridiplantae, Streptophyta, Magnoliopsida, Asterales, Asteraceae. The record is from RefSeq and is a predicted model, not a curated record. The transcript is spliced from 5 exons.